This 468-nucleotide ribosomal RNA is filed under the name uncultured bacterium. RNAcentral describes it as "partial 16S ribosomal RNA". It matches the Rfam family "Bacterial small subunit ribosomal RNA", at positions 28 to 507 of the family's 1533-position model. The record is from RNAcentral.
GACGAACGCUGGCGGCGUGCUUAACACAUGCAAGUCGAACGGAAAGGCCCUGCUUUUGUUGGGUGCUCGAGUGGCGAACGGGUGAGUAACACGUGAGUAACCUGCCCUUGACUUUGGGAUAACUUCAGGAAACUGGGGCUAAUACCGGAUAGGAGCUCCUGCUGCAUGGUGGGGGUUGGAAAGUUUCGGCGGUUGGGGAUGGACUCGCGGCUUAUCCGCUUGUUGGUGGGGUAGUGGCUUACCAAGGCUUUGACGGGUAGCCGGCCUGAGAGGGUGACCGGCCACAUUGGGACUGAGAUACGGCCCAGACUCCUACGGGAGGCAGCAGUGGGGAAUAUUGCACAAUGGGCGGAAGCCUGAUGCAGCAACGCCGCGUGCGGGAUGACGGCCUUCGGGUUGUAAACCGCUUUCGCCUGUGACGAAGCGUGAGUGACGGUAAUGGGUAAAGAAGCACCGGCUAACUACGUG